This 603-nucleotide ribosomal RNA is filed under the name Triticum aestivum (bread wheat). RNAcentral describes it as "partial small subunit ribosomal RNA". The record is from RNAcentral. Lineage: Eukaryota; Viridiplantae; Streptophyta; Magnoliopsida; Poales; Poaceae.
AUGGCUGAACCGAAGACGGGUGAGCAUGUUGUUGCAGAUGGCUUCGACUUUCCUCUUUUGUUUGUUGCAAGCAGACUGGUCACUGGAAGCGGAACUGCCCCAAGUAUUUGGCGGAUAAGAAGGAUGGCACAGAAGACCGAAAGGUCGAGCAUGAGUCGUAUAGAAGAUACGAUCAACAUGAAGAUGUUCACUUGUACAACAUUAGAUGGGCAUAAUUGGAUGUAUCCUGUAGCAUUUGCAUUCAUUGAUGGUGAAACCGACGAAAAUUGGACGUGGUUCAUGUCACAACUCAACAAGGCAUUAGGUCAUGUUUCCCCUCUAGCUAUAUGCACAGAUGCAUGUAAAGGUUUAGAGAAUGCAGUCCAAAAAAUAUUCUCUCAUGCAGAUCAAAGGGAGUGUUUUAGGCAUCUCAUGGCUAACUUCUCUAAAAAGUUCCAAGGAGAUGUGUUUGGUAGAAUGUGGCCAGCUGCUAGGGCAUAUAGGCCACAAGUUUUUAACUACCACAUGAAUAAAAUCAUAGCAGAAGCACCUGAUGUGCAUGAAUAUCUCUCAAGGUACCACAGCUUAAAAUGGAUGAGAUGCAUGUUUGACCCCUUCCAUUAA